RNAcentral lists this ribosomal RNA (253 nucleotides) under uncultured bacterium. RNAcentral describes it as "partial 16S ribosomal RNA". It matches the Rfam family "Bacterial small subunit ribosomal RNA", at positions 524 to 776 of the family's 1533-position model. The record is from RNAcentral.
UACGAAGGGGGCGAGCGUUGUUCGGAUUUACUGGGCGUAAAGGGCGCGCAGGCGGCUCCAAAAGUCAGGCGUGAAAGCCCCGGGCUUAACCUGGGAGGUGCGUCUGGGACUGUGGGGCUAGAGUUCGGGAGAGGAGCGUGGAAUUCCCAGUGUAGAGGUGAAAUUCGUAGAUAUCGGGAGGAACACCGGUGGCGAAGGCGACCAUCUGGACGGAUACUGACGCUGAGACGCGAAAGCGUGGGUAGCAAACAGG